UACGGAGGGUGCAAGCGUUGUCCGGAAUCACUGGGCGUAAAGGGCGCGUAGGCGGCUUGGUAAGUAGGGGGUGAAAUCCCACGGCUUAACCGUGGAGCUGCUUGGUAUACUGCUUGUCUUGGGCCACUUAGGGGCUACCGGAACAAACGGUGGAGCGGUGAAAUGCGUAGAUAUCGUUUGGAACGCCAAUGGUGAAAACAGGUAGCUGGGAGUGUGCCGACGCUGAGACACGAAAGCCAGGGGAGCGAACGGG
RNAcentral lists this ribosomal RNA (253 nucleotides) under uncultured bacterium. RNAcentral describes it as "partial 16S ribosomal RNA". It matches the Rfam family "Bacterial small subunit ribosomal RNA", at positions 524 to 776 of the family's 1533-position model. The record is from RNAcentral.